This 254-nucleotide ribosomal RNA is filed under the name uncultured bacterium. Its description in RNAcentral is "partial 16S ribosomal RNA". It matches the Rfam family "Bacterial small subunit ribosomal RNA", at positions 524 to 776 of the family's 1533-position model. The record is from RNAcentral.
UACAGAGGAGGCAAGCGUUGUUCGGAAUUACUGGGCGUAAAGGGCGCGUAGGCGGCCACUGCAAGUCGGUUGUGAAAUCUCCGGGCUUAACCCGGAAAGGUCAAUCGAUACUGCAGGGCUAGAGUGCAGAAGGGGCAACUGGAAUUCUCGGUGUAGCGGUGAAAUGCGUAGAUAUCGAGAGGAACACCUGCGGCGAAGGCGGGUUGCUGGGCUGACACUGACGCUGAAGCGCGAAAGCUAGGGGAGCGAACGGG